AAGCAUGGGUAGCGAAGAGGAUUAGAUACCCUCGUAGUCCAUGCCGUAAACGAUGUGUGUUAGACGUUGGAAAUUUAUUUUCAGUGUCGCAGGGAAACCGAUAAACACACCGCCUGGGGAGUACGACCGCAAGGUUAAAACUCAAAUGAAUUGACGGGGACCCGCACAAGUAGUGGAGCAUGUGGUUUAAUUCGAAGAUACGCGCAGAACCUUACCAACACUUGACAUGUUCGUCGCGACUUUAAGAGAUUAGAGUUUUCGGUUCGGCCGGACGAAACACAGGUGCUGCAUGGCUGUCGUCAGCUCGUGUCGUGAGAUGUUGGGUUAAGUCCCGCAACGAGCGCAACCCUCACUUUUAGUUGCCAUCAUUAAGUUGGGCACUCUGAAAGAACUGCCAGUGAUAAGCUGGAGGAAGGUGGGGAUGACGUCAAGUCCUCAUGGCCCUUACGUGUUGGGCUACACACGUGCUACAAUGGUAUCUACAACAGGAAGCAAGACUGCGAAGUUAAGCAAAUCCCUAAAAGAUACCUCAGUUCGGAUUGCACUCUGCAACUCGAGUGCAUGAAGCUGGAAUUACUAGUAAUCGUGGAUCAGCGUGCCACGGUGAAUGCGUUCCCGGGUCUUGUACACACCGCCCGUCACACCAUGGGAGUUGGUUCUACCUUAAGGCAAGGUUUCAAACCCUUGACCACGGUAUAGUCAGCGACUGGGGUGAAGUCGUAACAAGGUAACCGUA
RNAcentral lists this ribosomal RNA (736 nucleotides) under uncultured bacterium. RNAcentral describes it as "bacterial SSU rRNA". It matches the Rfam family "Bacterial small subunit ribosomal RNA", at positions 757 to 1504 of the family's 1533-position model. The record is from RNAcentral.